Molecule: ribosomal RNA, 462 nt
Filed under: uncultured bacterium
Lineage: Bacteria
Description: SSU rRNA
Rfam family: Bacterial small subunit ribosomal RNA
Source: RNAcentral
AGAACGAACGCUGGCGGCAUGCCUAACACAUGCAAGUCGAACGAGACCUUCGGGUCUAGUGGCGCACGGGUGCGUAACGCGUGGGAAUCUGCCCUUAGGUACGGAAUAACAGUGAGAAAUUACUGCUAAUACCGUAUGAUGUCUUCGGACCAAAGAUUUAUCGCCUAGGGAUGAGCCCGCGUAGGAUUAGCUAGUUGGUGGGGUAAAGGCCUACCAAGGCGACGAUCCUUAGCUGGUCUGAGAGGAUGAUCAGCCACACUGGGACUGAGACACGGCCCAGACUCCUACGGGAGGCAGCAGUGGGGAAUAUUGGACAAUGGGCGAAAGCCUGAUCCAGCAAUGCCGCGUGAGUGAAGAAGGCCUUCGGGUUGUAAACCCUGUUGCCCGGGACGAAUGUGCAUUUUUGAAUGCAUUGACGGUACCGGGUGAGGAAGCACCGGCUAACUCCGUGCCAGCAGCCGC